This 251-nucleotide ribosomal RNA is filed under the name uncultured bacterium. Its description in RNAcentral is "partial 16S ribosomal RNA". It matches the Rfam family "Bacterial small subunit ribosomal RNA", at positions 524 to 776 of the family's 1533-position model. The record is from RNAcentral.
UACGAAGGGGGCUAGCGUUGUUCGGAAUUACUGGGCGUAAAGCGCACGUAGGCGGAUAUUUAAGUCAGGGGUGAAAUCCCGGGGCUCAACCCCGGAACUGCCUUUGAUACUGGGUAUCUUGAGUUCGGAAGAGGUGAGUGGAAUUGCGAGUGUAGAGGUGAAAUUCGUAGAUAUUCGCAGGAACACCAGUGGCGAAGGCGGCUCACUGGUCCGAUACUGACGCUGAGGUGCGAAAGCGUGGGAGCAACAGG